GUUCUCACUUCUGCGGCACAUACACUAAAAUUGGAGCAAUACAAAGAAGAUGAGCAUGGUCCCUGUGCAAGGGUGACACACAAAUUAGUGAAGCGUUCCAUUGUUUG
This is a small nuclear RNA of Pipistrellus kuhlii (Kuhl's pipistrelle), 107 nucleotides long. The record is from RefSeq and is a predicted model, not a curated record. Lineage: Eukaryota; Metazoa; Chordata; Mammalia; Chiroptera; Vespertilionidae.